GGGGAAUAUUGCACAAUGGGGGAAACCCUGAUGCAGCGAUGCCGCGUGGAGGAAGAAGGUUUUCGGAUUGUAAACUCCUGUCUUCAGGGACGAUAAUGACGGUACCUGAGGAGGAAGCUCCGGCUAACUACGUGCCAGCAGCCGCGGUAAUACGUAGGGAGCAAGCGUUGUCCGGAAUUACUGGGUGUAAAGGGAGCGUAGGCGGGACGGCAAGUCAGAUGUGAAAUUUAUGGGCUCAACUCAUAACCUGCAUUUGAAACUGCUGUUCUUGAGUGAAGUAGAGGUAAGCGGAAUUCCUGGUGUAGCGGUGAAAUGCGUAGAUAUCAGGAGGAACAUCGGUGGCGAAGGCGGCUUACUGGGCUUUUACUGACGCUGAGGCUCGAAAGCGUGGGGAGCAAAC
RNAcentral lists this ribosomal RNA (400 nucleotides) under uncultured bacterium. Its description in RNAcentral is "bacterial SSU rRNA". It matches the Rfam family "Bacterial small subunit ribosomal RNA", at positions 356 to 773 of the family's 1533-position model. The record is from RNAcentral.